AGUCGUGUUUUAUCCUCAAGCUCCGCCCCCUGGAAAGGAAAAAUCGGCUGCACUGUCCGCCAUUUUUGUCUCUCGCUUUGGAAAAUCUACUACCAUCUGGAGUUUUACACUUGAAGAUAAAUGCAGAGUUUAAGUGCAUUACCACCAUGCCACUGCAGUCCAGAUUACUCUCGCAGAUAGAUGUGCUAUCUGACAAACUAAUAAAGGUCUUCAAAAGGCGAGGAGGACAAAUAGGAAGAAGACUUCAGAACAUUCUGGAGCCCACGGCCCAGGCCACAGAUGAAGCCAUUAUCCAACGAUCUAAUAAGGAAAC
Molecule: long non-coding RNA, 313 nt
Organism: Oreochromis aureus
Lineage: Eukaryota; Metazoa; Chordata; Actinopteri; Cichliformes; Cichlidae
Exons: 3
Source: RefSeq, a predicted model, not a curated record